UACGAAGGUCCCAAGCGUUGUUCGGAAUUACUGGGCGUAAAGGGCUCGUAGGCGGCCAACUAAGUCACACGUGAAAUCCCCAGGCUUAACCUGGGAACUGCGUGUGAUACUGGAUGGCUUGAAUUCGGGAGAGGGAUGCAGAAUUCCAGGUGUAGCGGUGAAAUGCGUAGAUAUCUGGAGGAAUACCGGUGGCGAAGGCGGCAUCCUGGACCGACAUUGACGCUGAGGAGCGAAAGCUAGGGGAGCAAACGGG
This 253-nucleotide ribosomal RNA is filed under the name uncultured bacterium. RNAcentral's name for it is "partial 16S ribosomal RNA". It matches the Rfam family "Bacterial small subunit ribosomal RNA", at positions 524 to 776 of the family's 1533-position model. The record is from RNAcentral.